AAAAUGGCCGACGGAGGCUAUUUAGCCGCGCCCGCCGCCCCUCCCUCGUGACCCACCCGCGCCGGGCAUCCUGGGACAUGUAGUUUCCUGGGGGCGGCAGAGGCCAUCCAACCUGGGGCCGGCGGGCUUAUGGGACCGCAAUUCCCGGCAGGGAGCACGCCCUCCGGCGCCGGUGGCCGGGCGGGGAAGGGUUCAGGGGGCUGCGGAGACGUCCGGACAGAGCCAGCGGGUUUUGGGGACUGUGCGCUCCCCGCGCUCGGGCGCUCUCCUUGACUCCCUUUCUCUCGCCAAACAGCGGCGGCGCCAAGGGGUCAGUAUGGGGGGACAUUCUUCGUUAGUCCCCGUCGAGGCCUGGGGUAGUAUAAGUAAAACCAGGGUGCAGAAGCAAAACAAGUACCCUGGCCCUGGCUUUCGACUCGUCAGCUGCCGCUCAUCACCUCCUGCGUCGCAGUACCGUCCCCCCCUCUGACCCCGGCCCCUGGCCCCAGUGGCGCGAGCCACGUUAGUCCCCACGGGGGCUGGAGGUGAGAGGGCCCCCUGACCACCCCCAACCCCCGCCCCGGGUUGGUCUGCCCUCCGAGUCCCGAGCGCGGUGGCUCUCAAACUCCAGCGUGCCUCUCGCGGAGGGCUUGGUAAAACACGGACUGAUGGACCUCAGAGCUUCUGUUUCAGGUCUGCGGUGUGACCCGACAAUUGGCAAACCUAACAAGCUGCCAGGAGAUGCAGGUGCUACUGGUCUGGGAACACACCGCAGAAUCACUGCCCCGCUUCACCAGGGCCCGACAUCCAGCGGGGGCCGGGAUGUGUCGUCCGAACAUACCAAAAAACCAGCCUGUCAGCUUGGACACGGAACCUUGAAUAGGGUGAGGAAACUGAGACUCAAGAAGUUUAAACACAGAAAAAUGUUUAUUACUUCUUCAAGAACGCAUAGCCAGUAAGUGGCAUAGUCAGAAUUUGAACCCAGAGGCCACGUGGCAGGGCAGAUGUCCAUCAACUGCCUUGGGCUGAUCACAUAUUCGCAAUAAACAACGGGGACCGGCGGGGCCUAUGGAAGUUUUAAAGGGAAGACUUGAUCACAUUUCACCUUGUUUACUGUCUGCCUUGUAAACAACACACCUGGACUCUCACCCUGAAACUGGAAGCGGAGUUCCUAAAGUUCAAGUUUAAAAAGUCUGAAAUCCAAUCAACAUUCUUUGGCUUUUUAUAAUUUGGUUAUAUAUGUUAGAGGGUUGACAUCCAGCUGAUGUCCACAACUGCAUGCAUACAUGUUAAAUUAUUAAACUACUUUCAUGCCGGUUGGCAAAUAGGUACUGCCCAGCCUUCUCAGCACCUACUUCUAAUUUGGACCUCUUAGACCACUGCCUGAACAAGCAGCUGAAAGGCAGAUGCCUGGCAGCAGGGCCUUCCUGGAUCUGGUCAUGAUCCACUUUUAAAAUUAGGCGUUUGAGCUCACAGUGUUCAUUUUCCCAGCAAUGUGUUUAUUGCUGCCCAAUUUUUGUCAGUGGUUUGACGGAAACGCGGUGGAGGGUGAUGUUCUAGAUUUUCCAGAGUCCAACCCUGGAUCAAAUCAGGUCAGCAGAGGAACUGAGAAUGUGUAUUUCAUUUCAGUUUGUUCCUGCCACCUGCCACCCUCUCGAGAACUGGUCUUGCUGAGUUGUGUGUGGGGGUGAUGUCAUCAGCCUGUGCUGAGAGCCAGGGGAGGAAAUGGCAGAAAUGACACUCACUGUCGUCUGUCUUACAGAAUGUUGUCAACCUGUGUUGCUUUGUAUCACAGUGUCUAUUUAGAAGAAUCCUCAGAGACUUGCCUAACUGGUCUUAGAAGCAAAAACAGUUAUAUUACUCCUGGAAAGCUGUUCUUUUUCAUCUGAGAAACCUGUCCGUCAGUGUCCAGUUUUCUUUUCUCCCUGUCUUUGUAAGUGUACUUACAAUCAUUCUGGAAUGAAGCAAAGAAACAAAGGAAGGAAGGAAGGGAGCAAAUACUUCAAGUUAUGAAAAAUCGAAGCAGAUAGAUGAUCAAAGGAACCCAAAUACACAGGCAUUUUGUGUUUUUUUUCCUCAGCGAAAUUUCAACAUUAACUUAUCACAGAUUUAUACUGAGUAAUAAUUAUGUACUUUGCUUUUCAAAGCUCUGAAGUACAAAUACUAAGUACCUGAAGAGGAUAUUCUCUUUAAGUGCCAAGUCUACAGACUUCUAAGCUCUUUUUUUUUUUUUUUUUAAGAUUUUAUUUGUUUAUUUGACAGAGAGAGAGAGACAGGGAGAGAGGGAACACAAGCAGGGGGAGUGGGAGAGGGAGAAGCAGGUUUCCCGCAGAGCAGGGAGCCCAAUGCAGGGCUCAAUUCCAGGACCCUGGGAUCGUGACCUGAGCCAAAGGCAGAUACUCAACAACUGAGCCACCCAGGCACCCCCUAACCUCUUCUUACCACCAUGUUUUUAGAAAUACCCAGCACAGUUAGGGCUUUGUAGAAUGAUAUUUGGACACUUGGCUUUCAUUCAAAGGUAGGCAUAAUAAAAAUGUCUUUGUAGGCUUUGUCCCGAUUUGCCUUUUGCCAAACAGGGAAAGUCUGUUGUUCAUAAGUUCCAUAAACAUGUAAUCUAGGCAUACCCAAGCACUGUGUCUUCUGAGAUUACGGUUUCUUUUUUUCCUUUUGUUAAUAAACUAAUUCAAGUCUCAUCCCACGUAAUUGUGGGCCAUCCUGUACCCUACCUACGAUUUCCAAGGAUUCUCCAGAGGACUGCAUUCUUUUGAUCCUCUCCUACUUUCAAUUCUUACUCUGGUUGAAUUCUUUGCCCCAAAGAAUUCUUUGCUUCUCCUCCCUUACUUCCCUAAACAUUGCUAACACAGGGUUAUAGUGUGUAGCACUUUUAUGGAAAAAUUGGAGAGAACCCAAGAGGCACACAGGCUGGGGAUCAACUUCCAAGUUCAGGGUUAGGUAUGGUUGCCUCCCCCUGAGACUCCUCCCCCUGUCAUGUCACUCUUCCUCUCCCUGUGUUCUGGGCAAGGAAGCCACUCACCAGGAGAAGAUGAACAUUUUCUAGUACCUUAUCCUGCAGAGCAUUUUAACUGCCUCCCUCAGACCCCUGCCUAUUUCAGCAGAGAGGCCUUUCUAUGCUGGAGUCUCCUAUUACAUAGUGGCAACAAUAGCAAAGAAUGGCAAUGUUGUAUAUUAUAUUUUGCAUUAAGUUCUGGAAAAGCAAAUUCUUGGGCAGCAUUCUCCCUUCACCAAGCAGGACCCAUGUGUUCUGGGGACCUUCUGGUUUGUGGGGAGAAAUCUGGAAUCUGUAGUAUAUUAGACACUUUUUCCAGGUAUUUUUGGGCUGUUAGUAGGGUAGCUAAUCAAAAAAGUCUGGUAAAGAUCUAUAGCAGUGAUAGACAUACUAUGUUUUGUAUUUUACUAAAAUACAGAAUUUGAUAAUCUUGCAAAUUGGGCUAAGGCCUUUUUUUGAUUAUUGGCUUACUAAUUGGAGUUCCCUGGUAUCACAUUCUACCUAUAAUACAUUGGUUACAGUGUCCUGUUUUUGUGUAUUUAUUUAUUAAGAUCUAUUAUUUAUUUAUUUUAGAAAGAGAGAUACUGUUGUGGGGGAGGGGCAGAGGGAGAAGUAGCGAGAGUUUUAAGUAGACUCACCGCUGAGCAGGGAGCCAGGCGAGGUGAGGCUUAACCUCAUGACCCUGACAAGGUCAUGAGCCAAAACCAAGAGUCAGACACAUAACUGACUGUGCCACCAAGGCACCCUUGGUUUUGUGUAUUUAAAAUAAGAGUUUUUUUCAAGCUGUCAGUGCAAAAUAUAUCUAGAUUUUUAUGGCUACUUCCUGCCAAUAUUUGUUGGCUUUAUUUGCACUUUUCUUGACCAAAAUUCUCUUAGCAGUUUGCUUUUAUCUAAUUUUUCCAAAGUAGUCAAUAUAUUUCUCCUAGAAGUGACAACCGUAUUUCUUUUUGCGCUCAUUUAAUCAGUUUCAUUUUAUUGGAAUUAAAUAAUUACAGUAACGUAAAAUUGCACGCACAGAUUUGGGAGCAAACAUAACUGACUCCUGGUAAGCAUGUGUUUCACGUGGUGGAGGCAAGGUGUGUCAGGGCCAGACUAGGCAGCAGCAUCGGGGCAGGGGGACAUUCUACAGAAGGAAGGUGGUGAUUGGCUUGGAGCGUUGGUUAGUGAGGGUCCAUUAUGGGAGCUUCUCUCUGAGUAGAUUAAUAUUAAUAGCCAAAGGCCCAAGGGCUACCUCUGUCUACCAGGUAUAUGACUUCAUGGAUGUAACAUCAUCUCUCUAAAUCUCAAUUUCAUUUGUAAAUUAUGGAAGAAAAAAAAGAAUGCCAAACCUACCUGCUAGGAAGAUCAAAUGAAAUAAUGUAUGUAAAGCUCUUUAGAAAUAGUAAAAUGCUGUAAAAAACAAAAAUGUUUUUGUUACUAUAGGUUUUUGUUUUUGUUUUUUCAUUCACAGUAUUUGAUAGCUAUGGGGAAAUAUUUGUUUGGACUCUCUCCUACCUUUCCUUUGUUUAUGAUGAUUGAUAUUCUUGAUUUUUAGCUUAACUGGAGCCAUAUGUGAUGUGGAGAGGCUAAGUCCCCUGUAAAUUGUUGUCCUGAUAAUGAGUUGAAUUUUCCCAAAUAUAAAUAACAGCCUUUCCGGAUUUCCAUUUAAGAAAUAAGUUUGGUUCCAGUUAGAAACCAAGACAUGUGAUGGUUCAUCUGGCAAUGUUAAGGCCCCCAGACAGAAGCAAGACUUGUUCCCUAUACUAUACAUAUAUUUCAAUGUUUGAAACUUAAGACUCUGAUGGUAUUAUCUAAGCAAACAACCAUUCUGGCUAAAAAUGUCCAAACCAGAGAGUUUUUAUAUAUAUAUUAUUUCAUUAAAUGAAGGUAAAUAAAGUAGGUGUUAUUAUCUUAUGUUUACAUAGCAGGAAGUUAAGGCUACGAGGGGUUAAGAAUCUUGCUCACACUCACAUAGCAUGUAGUAAGUGUUUGGGCUGAGCCUUGAAUCCAGGGCUUCCAGUCCAAAUCUCAUGAUGUCUUGUAUGUAAACUCUCUCAUACAGAAAUUGGAUAAAUAUACCUAAAUGAUUCACAGACUGGAGCAAACAGAAAUAAUUACAGAGUGUCUGAAAAGUCAAAAAACAUAAGGAUGAAUUCAUUUUUAGAAGCACAUUUUUAGAAGUAUUAAUUACAUUUUCAAAUAAUAUACUCUUAGGAUAUUUUUUCAACUCCCAGAAAAUAUUUCAGGUGAAAUACCUCUAAGCCUAAAGCAAUAGGUCCAAUCUAUUUUUUAUUCUGAAAAAGUACAAUGAAUAUACUGUUUAUGUUUCUAGACCUUUUGGACACCCUGUUGUGUCCAGGUCAGUUAGAAAAAUUAGUAAAAAAUCUCAACUUACUAUUAUGAGUGUCUGAUGGUUGUAUUAGCAACAAGUGAUAUAAAUGAAAUACUUGAAACAUUAUUAAGUGAGAACAAUUUAAUUCUUUUAUUUAUCACUGAAAAUAGUAGAAUUCUAUUACAGCAGAACUCAUUAUUAUGAAUAUUUGCAUAGGCCAAAAAUAAAAGCAUGUCUCUAGAAACCUACUUAAUCUACAAUAGGAACUUGAAUGACACAGGUCAUUAAAAGUAAUCAUGAUAAUACAAAGUUAUACAAUCUUUAAAAAGAAAGGGAUAGUAAUUGGCUCAGGGUGGCUAACUCAGCAACUUUACCAUCAAAAAGUCCCUGAUGAUGUCAGACAAGAUAUAUUUUGAGGCAGAGUAAGUCUAGCACCGGACAAGAAGGUAUACCAUCUAUGGAUUAGACAGUUCCUUCCUCUGAAGGAAAAACAGAUGGAAAUCAAUUGAUGGAAUAAGCUGCAUGUUUAAAUAGUGGCACUACUGGAUUCUCAAAGAUCAUGGAAUACUUUCAAACUUUGGAGAUUUUGAACCCAAAGUCUUAUAUUUAAGUAAAAGAAUAUGCAAGAAAGAAGGCAAAAUAAAGGCCUUUAAAGCAUUUUUAAAGCAUUCAAGACCUGAGAAAGUUUUCUUCCAUAGGCAAUAUUGAUGACACAGUCCAGAAAAAUUAAAAGCCCAAAGAAAAGAAAGAAAUGGGACAAAAGAAAUAUAAGUAUAUAAAGAAACCAAUAAAAAUUUUGGUUGUGUCUAAAUAAUAUUGGUAUGUAAUGAGAGUGAAAUAUUUUAUGGGUAAUUUCUAGAAGAAUAGAAAUUUAAUGCACUUUUUAAUCCAAUAAAAGGCAGGAAAAAGGAUAAAAGCAAGAAGAAGUCGUGUAGCAAAUUAAAAACAUUAAAUUGUAAUGAAGUAGAAAGUACAUAAUUAUCAGUAAUCACAAAAAAUAUGAACGUUAUAUUUUUCAGUUAUAAUACCUUAAUUAAAACCUCUGGUUUCAAUUAAAUUAAAUUAAAAAGGGUUGCAAAGGGGUGCCUGGGUGGCUCAGUGGGUUAAGCUUCCUAAUCCUGAUUUUGGCUCAGGUCAUGAUCUCAGGGUUGUGAGACUGAGCCACAAGUUGGGCUCCCCUCUCAGCAGUGCAGUCUGCUUGAGAUUCUCUCUCUUGUUCUCCUUCUGCCCCUCCUCCCUGCAUUCUCUCUCUCCCCUUAAAAUAAAUUAAUAAUAAUAAUAAUAACUAAAAAUAAUAAAAUAAAUAUUUUUAAAAAUGUUUGCAAAACUUUAGCUUCUAUUUAUGACAUAUUUAGGGUCAAAUGAUAAAGAGAGAUUGAAAAAGUUAUUGCAAGCAACUGCUAAUUGAAAAGUAGGGUAUAGGGCACCUGGGUGGCUUAGUUGGUUAAGUGACUGCCUUCGGCUCAGGUCAUGAUCCUGGAGUCCUGGGAUUGAGUCCCACAUGGGGCUCCCUGCUUAGCAGGGAGUCUGCUUCUCUCUCUGACCCUCCCCCCUCUUGUGCUGUCUCUCUCUCAUUCUCUCUCUCUCAAAUAAAUAAAUAAAAUCUUAAAAAAAAAAAAGAAUUCCCUGAUGUUUAAAAAAAAAAAAGAAAAGUAGAAUGUAAUAAUGUUAUCAGGAAAAAUGAAUUCAAGAAGCAUCAUAUUAAAUGAAUUCAAGAAGAAUCAUAUUAAACAGAACAAAGAAGAAUAGUUCAUAUGGAUUCAAAUUAUAUCAAGCCACAAAUGAGUCAUAAACUUUUAUAUCCCUAAUAACUUGGCAAAAUGCACAUAGAGCAAAAGGGGAGAAAAAUAUGGAGAAAUUGAUAAAUUUGCAGUCUUAAUGAGAUAUAGAAAUGCAUCUACUUCAAAAAUGGACAGAUAAACAAAAAUUAAGUAAAGAUAUAACUGAUUUUAGUAGUAUAAUUAACACAUUUGGCCCAAAAGGCAUGUGUAAAACUUUGCACCUGAUGUAAAGCGUACUAAUUGUUUUCAAACACCUAUGGCAUGUUUAUAAAAAUCUAUCAUAUGUAUCUCAUAAAAAGACUCUCCACAAAAUUUAAAAUAUAGAAAUCAUAUAGGGUAUAUUAUUUGACCAAAAAUCAAAAUUCACAAAAGAAGGUAGCCAAAACAAACUAUUUACUUAGAAUUUUUUUUUAUUAUGGUAUGUUCGUCACCACACAGUACUUCAUUAGUUUUUGAUGGAGUGUUCCAUGAUUCAUUAUUUGCAUGUAACACCCAGUGCUCAUUGUAAUACGUGCCCUCCUUAAUACCCAUCACCGGGCUAACCCAUCCCCCCACCCCCCUCCCCUCUGAAUCCCUCAGUUUGUUUCCCGGAGUUCAUAGUUUCUCUUGGUUCAUCUCCCCCUCUGAUUUCCCCACCUUCAUUUUUCCCUUCCUUCUCCUAAUGUCCUCCAUGAUAUUCCUUAUGUUCCACAUAUAAGUGAAACCAUAUGAUAAUUGUCUUUCUCUGCUUGACUUAUUUCACUUAGCAUAAUCCCCUCCAGUUUCAUCCAUGUCAAUGCAAAUGGUGGAUAUUCAUCCUUUCUGAUGGCUGAGUAAUAUUCCAUUGUAUAUAUGGACCGCAUCUUUAUCCAUUCAUCUGUUGAAGGGCUUCUUGGCUCCUUCCACAGUUUGGCUAUUGUGGACAUUGCUGCUAUGAACAUUGGGGUGUUACUUGGAAAUUUUAAAAAGCAUAUACUUCUAAUUAAUUCUUGGACGAAAUAGGAAAUCAAAAUUGAAUUUAUAAAUUAUUAAAGAAUUGAUUUUUAAAGCAAUAUACAUCCAAACUUAGGGAAUAUAGCUAAAGCAGCAUUAGGGAAAAUGUGUAGCAUUACUCAUACUUAUGAGAGAACAUGGCAAAUAAAUGGACUAUAUUUUCAACUCAAGUGCUAGAAAAAGAACAAAAUAAGUCCAAAAAUUUGGGGGGAACCCCAAAAUAAUAAAGAGAAAAGCAAAAGUUAAUAAGUUAGGAAAAACAAGAGUAGUUGAUUGGUAUAACUUAUUGAUCAGUAAGAAGCCAAAUUUUGGUUCUUUUAAAAAACUUUUAAAAUAGACAAACACUUGGCAGUUGUAAUCAAGAAAAAGGGAGGGAGCAUCUGAGUGGCUUAUUCAGUUAAGCAGUUAAACAUCUGCCUUUAGCUCAGGUCAUGAUCUCAGGGUCCUGGGAUGUAGCCCUGCAUCAGGCUCCCUGCUCAGUGGGGAGUCUGCUUCUCCCUCUCCCUCUGCUUCUCCCCCUACUUGUGUUCCCUCCCUCUCUCUCUCAAAAAUAAAAUCUUAAAAAAAAAAAGAAAGAAAAAGGGAGAAGCUUUAUAAAGAUAACCUUGAUAAUAAGGAAGAGAUGUAACUACAGAUACAGAUAACUUAAAAAAUUAUGAGAAUUCUGUGCUUGUCUUUAUAGGAAUAAAUGUAAAAGUCUAAAUGCAAGGAUGAUUUCCCAUAAAUCCCUAUAAUUGGUUUAUAAGAAUUUAGAAGGUAGAAUAUAUCUUUUCCUAAAAAAGGAACCUAGCCCAAAUAGUUUUGAAUAGUCAAGUUCAUUACACAUCAAAAUUCCCAUGUUACAUAAAAUGUCAAAAGCAUAGAAAAAGAUAGAAAUCUUCGUAACUUAUUUUAGAACUCCAAAAGCAAAGAUGAUGUAAAAGAAAUAGUUUAUAAUAGCAUCAAAACUAAUAAAAUACUUAGCAAUAAAUUUAACAAAAUAAGAGCAAAAUUUGUACUUUUAGAACGAUGUAACAUUCUUGAAGGACGUUAAGUAUUAAAUGGAGAAACAUCUUAUGCUCAUGGAUCAAAAGACUUAAUAUUGUUAAGGUGGUAAUCUACUCCCAAACUAAUCUACAGAUUCAACACAAUACCCAUUAAAGUUCCAGUGGGCUUCUUUGCAAAAAUUGAAAAGCUGAUCCUAAAAUUCAUAUGGAAAUUUAAAAAUUCAUAUUUAAGAAAUGUAAGUAGCUAAAACAAUCUUGAAAAAGAACAGCAAAGUUGGAAGAUUCAUACUCCUGAUUUUAAAUUUACUCCAAAACUACAGUAGUCAGGACAAUGUGGUACUGGCAUAGGAUAGACAUCUAGGUCAGUGGACUGGAACUCAGAGCUCAGAAAAAAACCCCUUAAAUUGGGGCUCCUGGGUGGCUCAGUCAGUGGUUAAGCGUCUGCCUUCCACUCAGGUCGUGACCCCAGGGUCCUGGGAUCAAGCCCCACGUCGGGCUCCUUGCUCAGCAGGAAGCCUGCUUCUCCCUCUCCCGCUCCCCGUGCUUAUGCUUGUGCUCUCUCUCUCUCUGUCAAAUAAAUAAAAUCUUAAAAAAAAAAACCCCCAAACCCUUAAAUUUAUGGUCGAUUGAUUUUUUGACAAUGGUGACAAGACAAUUCAAUGGAGGAAAGAAUAGUUUUUUCAAACUAUUUGUGUUGGGACAACUGGAUAUUCACAUGCAAAAGAAUGAAGUUAAACUCUUAACUCACAUUAUACACAAAAAUCAAUUCAAAAUGGACCAUAAAGCUAAAGAUAAGAGCUAAAACUAGAACAUUCCUAGAAGAAAGCAUAAGUGUAUAUGUUCAUAGCAUUGGAUUAGGCAAUGGUUUCUUUUUUUUUUUUUUUUAAGAUUUUAUUUAUUUAUUUGACCCAGAGAGAGAGAGAGUGAGAGCAGGAACACAAGCAGGGGGAGUGGGUGAGGGAGAAGCAGGCUUCCCGCUGAGCAGGCGGCCCAAUGUGGGGCUCGAUCCCAGGACCCUGGGAUCAUGACCUGAGCCGAAGGCAGAUGCUUAACGACUGAGCCACCCAGGCGCCCCUAGGAAAUGGUUUCUUGGGUAUGACACAAAAGCACAAAUAAUGAAAGAAGAAAAGAUAAAUUGGGCUUCAUCAAAAUUAAAAAAACUUUUGGGCUUGAAAGGACACCAUCAAGAAAGUGAAAUGGUAGGUAACCCACAAAUUGGAAGAAACUAUUUGCAAAUCAUAUAUACCUGAUAAGAGAGUUGUAUCCAGAAUACAUAAGGAA
Long non-coding RNA from Mirounga angustirostris (Northern elephant seal), 10317 nucleotides. RefSeq lists it as uncharacterized. The transcript has 3 exons. The record is from RefSeq and is a predicted model, not a curated record. NCBI's taxonomy places the organism in Eukaryota, Metazoa, Chordata, Mammalia, Carnivora, Phocidae.